AUGGGUCAGCGACUUAUAUUCUGUAGCAAGGUUAACCGAAUAGGGGAGCCGGAGGGAAACCGAGUCUUAACCGGGCGUUAAGUUGCAGGGUAUAGACCCGAAACCCGGUGAUCUAGCCAUGGGCAGGUUGAAGGUUGGGUAACACUAACUGGAGGACCGAACCGACUAAUGUUGAAAAAUUAGCGGAUGACCUGUGGCUGGGGGUGAAAGGCCAAUCAAACCGGGAGAUAGCUGGUUCUCCCCGAAAGCUAUUUAGGUAGCGCCUCGUGAAUUCAUCUCCGGGGGUAGAGCACUGUUUCGGCUAGGGGGCCAUCCCGGCUUACCAACCCGAUGCAAACUGCGAAUACCGGAGAAUGUUAUCACGGGAGACACACGGCGGGUGCUAACGUCCGUCGUGAAGAGGGAAACAACCCAGACCGCCAGCUAAGGUCCCAAAGUCAUGGUUAAGUGGGAAACGAUGUGGGAAGGCCCAGACAGCCAGGAUGUUGGCUUAGAAGCAGCCAUCAUUUAAAGAAAGCGUAAUAGCUCACUGGUCGAGUCGGCCUGCGCGGAAGAUGUAACGGGGCUAAACCAUGCACCGAAGCUGCGGCAGCGACACUGUGUGUUGUUGGGUAGGGGAGCGUUCUGUAAGCCUGUGAAGGUGUGUCGUGAGGCAUGCUGGAGGUAUCAGAAGUGCGAAUGCUGACAUAAGUAACGAUAAAGCGGGUGAAAAGCCCGCUCGCCGGAAGACCAAGGGUUCCUGUCCAACGUUAAUCGGGGCAGGGUGAGUCGACCCCUAAGGCGAGGCCGAAAGGCGUAGUCGAUGGGAAACGGGUUAAUAUUCCCGUACUUGGUGUUACUGCGAAGGGGGGACGGAGAAGGCUAUGUUGGCCGGGCGACGGUUGUCCCGGUUUAAGCGUGUAGGUGUGUGUUCCAGGUAAAUCCGGUUCACUUUAACACUGAGGCGUGACGACGAGGCACUACGGUGCUGAAGCAACAAAUGCCCUGCUUCCAGGAAAAGCCUCUAAGCAUCAGGUAACAUCAAAUCGUACCCCAAACCGACACAGGUGGUCAGGUAGAGAAUACCAAGGCGCUUGAGAGAACUCGGGUGAAGGAACUAGGCAAAAUGGUGCCGUAACUUCGGGAGAAGGCACGCUGACACGUAGGUGAAGUGAUUUACUCAUGGAGCUGAAGUCAGUCGAAGAUACCAGCUGGCUGCAACUGUUUAUUAAAAACACAGCACUGUGCAAACACGAAAGUGGACGUAUACGGUGUGACGCCUGCCCGGUGCCGGAAGGUUAAUUGAUGGGGUCAGCGCAAGCGAAGCUCCUGAUCGAAGCCCCGGUAAACGGCGGCCGUAACUAUAACGGUCCUAAGGUAGCGAAAUUCCUUGUCGGGUAAGUUCCGACCUGCACGAAUGGCGUAAUGAUGGCCAGGCUGUCUCCACCCGAGACUCAGUGAAAUUGAACUCGCUGUGAAGAUGCAGUGUACCCGCGGCAAGACGGAAAGACCCCGUGAACCUUUACUAUAGCUUGACACUGAACAUUGAGCCUUGAUGUGUAGGAUAGGUGGGAGGCUUUGAAGUGUGGACGCCAGUCUGCAUGGAGCCGACCUUGAAAUACCACCCUUUAAUGUUUGAUGUUCUAACGUGGACCCGUUACCCGGGUUGCGGACAGUGUCUGGUGGGUAGUUUGACUGGGGCGGUCUCCUCCUAAAGAGUAACGGAGGAGCACGAAGGUUGGCUAAUCCUGGUCGGACAUCAGGAGGUUAGUGCAAUGGCAUAAGCCAGCUUGACUGCGAGCGUGACGGCGCGAGCAGGUGCGAAAGCAGGUCAUAGUGAUCCGGUGGUUCUGAAUGGAAGGGCCAUCGCUCAACGGAUAAAAGGUACUCCGGGGAUAACAGGCUGAUACCGCCCAAGAGUUCAUAUCGACGGCGGUGUUUGGCACCUCGAUGUCGGCUCAUCACAUCCUGGGGCUGAAGUAGGUCCCAAGGGUAUGGCUGUUCGCCAUUUAAAGUGGUACGCGAGCUGGGUUUAGAACGUCGUGAGACAGUUCGGUCCCUAUCUGCCGUGGGCGCUGGAGAACUGAGGGGGGCUGCUCCUAGUACGAGAGGACCGGAGUGGACGCAUCACUGGUGUUCGGGUUGUCAUGCCAAUGGCACUGCCCGGUAGCUAAAUGCGGAAGAGAUAAGUGCUGAAAGCAUCUAAGCACGAAACUUGCCCCGA
RNAcentral lists this ribosomal RNA (2203 nucleotides) under Salmonella enterica. RNAcentral's name for it is "partial 23S ribosomal RNA". It matches the Rfam family "Bacterial large subunit ribosomal RNA", at positions 615 to 2802 of the family's 2925-position model. The record is from RNAcentral. Lineage: Bacteria; Pseudomonadati; Pseudomonadota; Gammaproteobacteria; Enterobacterales; Enterobacteriaceae. RNAcentral also lists the same sequence under 1 other name.